AUUGAACGCUGGCGGCAGGCCUAACACAUGCCAGUCGAACGGUAACAGGAAGAAGCUUGCUUCUUUGCUGACGAGUGGCGGACGGGUGAGUAAUGUCUGGGAAACUGCCUGAUGGAGGGGGAUAACUACUGGAAACGGUAGCUAAUACCGCAUAACGUCGCAAGACCAAAGAGGGGGACCUUCGGGCCUCUUGCCAUCGGAUGUGCCCAGAUGGGAUUAGCUAGUAGGUGGGGUAACGGCUCACCUAGGCGACGAUCCCUAGCUGGUCUGAGAGGAUGACCAGCCACACUGGAACUGAGACACGGUCCAGACUCCUACGGGAGGCAGCAGUGGGGAAUAUUGUACAAUGGGCGCAAGCCUGAUGCAGCCAUGCCGCGUGUAUGAAGAAGGCCUUCGGGUUGUAAAGUACUUUCAGCGGGGAGGAAGGGAGUAAAGUUAAUACCUUUGCUCAUUGACGUUACCCGCAGAAGAAGCACCGGCUAACUCCGU
This 489-nucleotide ribosomal RNA is filed under the name uncultured bacterium. RNAcentral describes it as "partial 16S ribosomal RNA". It matches the Rfam family "Bacterial small subunit ribosomal RNA", at positions 30 to 506 of the family's 1533-position model. The record is from RNAcentral.